GUCCCCAUCGUCUAGCGGCCUAGGACAGCAGCCUCUCACGUUGUUAACAGGGGUUCGAUUCCCCUUGGGGACG
Molecule: transfer RNA, 73 nt
Filed under: Sutterella parvirubra YIT 11816
Lineage: Bacteria; Pseudomonadati; Pseudomonadota; Betaproteobacteria; Burkholderiales; Sutterellaceae
Rfam family: tRNA
About the family: Transfer RNA (tRNA) molecules are approximately 80 nucleotides in length. Their secondary structure includes four short double-helical elements and three loops (D, anti-codon, and T loops). Further hydrogen bonds mediate the characteristic L-shaped molecular structure. tRNAs have two regions of fundamental functional importance: the anti-codon, which is responsible for specific mRNA codon recognition, and the 3' end, to which the tRNAs corresponding amino acid is attached (by aminoacyl-tRNA synthetases). tRNAs cope with the degeneracy of the genetic code in two manners: having more than one tRNA (with a specific anti-codon) for a particular amino acid; and 'wobble' base-pairing, i.e. permitting non-standard base-pairing at the 3rd anti-codon position.
Source: Rfam by way of RNAcentral